GGGUGGCCCAGUUGGUUAGAGGCUGGGGCGCUGAUAACGGCAAGGUUGCCGGUUCGAUCCCCGUAAGGGACA
Non-coding RNA from Podarcis lilfordi (Lilford's wall lizard), 72 nucleotides. The record is from the annotation of a GenBank genome assembly. NCBI's taxonomy places the organism in Eukaryota, Metazoa, Chordata, Lepidosauria, Squamata, Lacertidae.